Molecule: long non-coding RNA, 262 nt
Filed under: Rattus norvegicus (Norway rat)
Lineage: Eukaryota; Metazoa; Chordata; Mammalia; Rodentia; Muridae
Description: long non-coding RNA NONRATT002045
Source: RNAcentral
GGCCAUGGAAAGGCCAACGGGGAGCCCACGUGGGCCCUGCUGCUCACGGCCCUCAUCUGUGAGACCGGCAUCCUCAUCGCCUCCCUGGACAGCGUGGCUCCCAUCCUGUCCAUGUUCUUCCUCAUGUGCUACAUGUUCGUCAACCUGGCCUGUGCUGUUCAGACCCUGCUGCGCACACCCAACUGGCGUCCACGUUUCAAGUUCUACCACUGGACCCUCUCCUUCCUUGGGAUGAGUCUCUGCCUUGCGCUCAUGUUCAUCU